This is a long non-coding RNA of Osmia bicornis bicornis, 248 nucleotides long. RefSeq lists it as uncharacterized. NCBI's taxonomy places the organism in Eukaryota, Metazoa, Arthropoda, Insecta, Hymenoptera, Megachilidae. The record is from RefSeq and is a predicted model, not a curated record. The transcript is spliced from 3 exons.
ACCCGGUCCACCGACGCCUGCCGAUCGACCCCUGCUGCUCAGUCCACCGAACAAGCUAAUGUCACCCAAGGGUAGUCGUGUAGUGAGCUAAGCUACCUUUCAUCAUGCCGUUCAAAGUUAAAAGAAAUCUAAUCUUCUGGGUAUAAGGAAUAAAACGGACAGAAAGAUGAAAAUUACGAGCGAUUCAUAGAAAAAUCUAAAUCUAAUAACUAGAAUCAAUGCUCGCAUACCAAAAAAAGAAACGGUAC